CUACCGGAACCUUGGGUGACAUUAUGUUAAACACGGGGGAUUCUCGCUACGAUCUGUCUGGGAUGUCAUUUACUACACCAGACAGAGAUAACGACAGGUAUAGUAGUGGUAACUGUGCUGCUCACCGUAACAAAAGAGGAGGCAGGUGGUUUAACCGCUGUCACAACGCCUUCCUUAACGGUCAGUGGUCCCUGACAGACUGGUGGGCACCAUGGUAUCCUACAGUACAGAAUGGAGCAAAUGUGAUGCAGACCAUGAUGUUAAUCAAACGUCACUAGAUGAACAUUCAAAAUUGAGGGACCAGGCCUCAAAUUGACGAGGACCGCCAAUUAAUCAGAUGAAAAAAUUCUGAUAAAAGAGACAGUAUUAAAUUUAUCAUGGGAUUCUAUUCAUUCUUUUUUUUUUUUUUUUUUUUAAAUAAUGUUAUAUAUUAAGAGAGAAAACUUGUAAUGGAUUGUAU
Molecule: long non-coding RNA, 460 nt
Organism: Saccostrea echinata
Lineage: Eukaryota; Metazoa; Mollusca; Bivalvia; Ostreida; Ostreidae
Exons: 3
Source: RefSeq, a predicted model, not a curated record